RNAcentral lists this small nuclear RNA (195 nucleotides) under Cucumis melo (muskmelon). RNAcentral describes it as "U2 spliceosomal RNA". It matches the Rfam family "U2 spliceosomal RNA". Rfam says of the family: U2 is a small nuclear RNA (snRNA) component of the spliceosome (involved in pre-mRNA splicing). Complementary binding between U2 snRNA (in an area lying towards the 5' end but 3' to hairpin I) and the branchpoint sequence (BPS) of the intron results the bulging out of an unpaired adenosine, on the BPS, which initiates a nucleophilic attack at the intronic 5' splice site, thus starting the first of two transesterification reactions that mediate splicing. Lineage: Eukaryota; Viridiplantae; Streptophyta; Magnoliopsida; Cucurbitales; Cucurbitaceae. RNAcentral also lists the same sequence under 1 other name. The record is from Rfam by way of RNAcentral.
AUACCUUUCUCGGCCUUUUGGCUAAGAUCAAGUGUAGUAUCUGUUCUUAUCAGUUUAAUAUCUGAUACGUGGGCCAUCGGCCCACAUGAUAUUAAAUUAAUUUUUUAAGGGGGAAGGCCCGCCGGGUAGCUUGCUACCUGGGCCUUCGAGUGUCGCCCAUGCGUUGCACUACUGCUUGGGCCUGGCGCACCCCUC